GGGUGGGUAAAUUUCAUCUAAAGCUAAAUACUGGUCGGAGACCGAUAGCGCACAAGUAGAGUGAUCGAAAGGUUAAAAGCACCUUGAAAAGGGAGUUAAACAGCACGUGAAAUUGUUGAAAGGGAAGCGCUUGCGGCCAGACUCGGGGGCGGGGUUCAGCGGGCGCUCGUCGCCCGCGCACUCCCCGUCCCCCGGGCCAGCAUCAGUUUCGACGGCCGGUCAAAGGCCCCCGGAAUGUGUCGUCUCUCGGGACGUCUUAUAGCCGGGGGUGCAAUGCGGCCCGUCGGGACUGAGGAACGCGCUCCGGCUCGGAUGCUGGCGUAAUGGCCGUAAGCGGC
This 338-nucleotide ribosomal RNA is filed under the name Nannizzia perplicata. RNAcentral describes it as "LSU rRNA". It matches the Rfam family "Eukaryotic large subunit ribosomal RNA", at positions 294 to 648 of the family's 3401-position model. The record is from RNAcentral. Lineage: Eukaryota; Fungi; Ascomycota; Eurotiomycetes; Onygenales; Arthrodermataceae.